RNAcentral lists this ribosomal RNA (753 nucleotides) under uncultured bacterium. RNAcentral's name for it is "bacterial SSU rRNA". It matches the Rfam family "Bacterial small subunit ribosomal RNA", at positions 68 to 822 of the family's 1533-position model. The record is from RNAcentral.
ACAGGAGAGAGCUUGCUCUCUUGCUGACGAGUGGCGGACGGGUGAGUAAUGCUUGGGAAUCUGCCUAUAGAUGGGGGAUAACCAUUGGAAACGAUGGCUAAUACCGCGUAAUAUCGAGAGAUUAUAGAGUGCUUUUAGUACUUGUCUAUAGAUGAGCCCAAGUGAGAUUAGCUAGUUGGUGAGGUAAUGGCUCACCAAGGCGACGAUCUCUAGCUGGUUUGAGAGAAUGACCAGCCACACUGGAACUGAGACACGGUCCAGACUUCUACGGAAGGCAGCAGUGGGGAAUAUUGGACAAUGGGGGCAACCCUGAUCCAGCCAUGCCGCGUGUAUGAAGAAGGCCUUAGGGUUGUAAAGUACUUUCGGUAAUGAGGAAGGUAAUUAUUGAAGGAUAGUUGCUUGACGUUAGUUACAGAAGAAGCACCGGCUAACUCCGUGCCAGCAGCCGCGGUAAUACGGAGGGUGCGAGCGUUAAUCGGAAUUACUGGGCGUAAAGGGCACGCAGGCGGAUUGGCAAGUUAGAUGUGAAAGCCCCGAGCUUAACUUGGGAAUUGCAUUUAAAACUACUAAUCUAGAGUUGUUUAGGGAGGGGUAGAAUUUCUCGUGUAACAGUGAAAUGUGUAGAGAUGAGAAGGAAUACCGAAGGCGAAGGCAGCCCCUUGGGAACAAACUGACGCUCAUGUGCGAAAGCGUGGGGAGCAAACAGGAUUAGAUACCCUGGUAGUCCACGCCGUAAACGAUCUCGAUUUGGAG